UUCUGGGAGGAUUGACAAAUUGAGAGCUCUUUCUUGAUUCGGUGGAUGGUGGUGCAUCUUAGUUCUUAGUUGUCGGAGUGAUUUGUCUGGUUAAUUUCGAUAACGAGCGAAACUCUAGCCUAUUGAUUAGGUGCGUGGUUCUUUGCACCUUGCACCCUUCUUAGAGGAACAAGCGGCUCCUAGCCGCACGGAAGAGAGCAAUAACAAGUCGGUGAUACCCUUAAAU
RNAcentral lists this ribosomal RNA (226 nucleotides) under Ixodes scapularis (black-legged tick). RNAcentral's name for it is "eukaryotic small subunit ribosomal RNA". It matches the Rfam family "Eukaryotic small subunit ribosomal RNA", at positions 1229 to 1478 of the family's 1831-position model. Lineage: Eukaryota; Metazoa; Arthropoda; Arachnida; Ixodida; Ixodidae. The record is from RNAcentral.